This 72-nucleotide transfer RNA is filed under the name Salmonella enterica subsp. enterica. RNAcentral describes it as "tRNA-Gly". The record is from RNAcentral. Lineage: Bacteria; Pseudomonadati; Pseudomonadota; Gammaproteobacteria; Enterobacterales; Enterobacteriaceae.
GCGAUAGCUCGGUUGGUAGAGCACGACCUUGCCAAGGUCGGGGGUCACAGUUCAGUCUCGUUUCCCGCUCCA